This 1033-nucleotide ribosomal RNA is filed under the name Clostridioides difficile. Its description in RNAcentral is "partial 23S ribosomal RNA". It matches the Rfam family "Bacterial large subunit ribosomal RNA", at positions 1660 to 2703 of the family's 2925-position model. The record is from RNAcentral. Lineage: Bacteria; Bacillati; Bacillota; Clostridia; Peptostreptococcales; Peptostreptococcaceae.
CAGGUGGGUGAGGAGAGUAUCCUAAGGCCAGCGAGAGAACUGUUGUUAAGGAACUCGGCAAAAUGACCCCGUAACUUAGGGAUAAGGGGUGCCACCAUCAGGUGGCCGCAGAGAAUAGGCCCAAGCGACUGUUUACCAAAAACAUAGGUUUCUGCUAAGUCGCAAGACGAUGUAUAGGAGCUGACGCCUGCCCGGUGCUGGAAGGUUAAGGGGAUCUGUUAGAGCAAUCGAAGCAGUGAACUUAAGCCCCAGUAAACGGCGGCCGUAACUAUAACGGUCCUAAGGUAGCGAAAUUCCUUGUCGGGUAAGUUCCGACCCGCACGAAAGGCGUAACGAUUUGGGCACUGUCUCAACAACAGACUCGGUGAAAUUGUAAUUCCGGUGAAGAUGCCGGAUACCUGCGACAGGACGGAAAGACCCCAUGGAGCUUUACUGUAGCUUGACAUUGGGUCUUGGUACUACAUGUACAGGAUAGGUGGGAGGCUUUGAAACCAGGACGCCAGUUUUGGCGGAGCCAUCCUUGGGAUACCACCCUUGUAGUACUGGGACUCUAACCAUAGGCCAUGAAUCUGGUCUUGGGACACUGUCAGGUGGGCAGUUUGACUGGGGCGGUCGCCUCCCAAAAGGUAACGGAGGCGCUCAAAGGUUCUCUCAGUACGGUCGGAAAUCGUACGUAGAGUGUAAAGGCAAAAGAGAGCUUGAUUGCAAGACAUACAGGUCGAGCAAGGAUGAAAAUCGGACUUAGUGAUCCGGUGGUUCUGCGUGGAAGGGCCAUCGCUCAACGGAUAAAAGCUACCCUGGGGAUAACAGGCUUAUCUCCCCCAAGAGUCCACAUCGACGGGGAGGUUUGGCACCUCGAUGUCGGCUCAUCACAUCCUGGGGCUGUAGUAGGUCCCAAGGGUUGGGCUGUUCGCCCAUUAAAGUGGUACGCGAGCUGGGUUCAGAACGUCGUGAGACAGUUCGGUCCCUAUCCGUCGCAGGCGUAGGAAAUUUGAGAAGACCUGUCCUUAGUACGAGAGGACCGGGAUGGACG